UUCGGGGUACUCGAGCGGCGAACGGGUGAGUAACACGUGAGUAAUCUGCCCUUCACUCUGGGAUAGCCACCGGAAACGGUGAUUAAUACCGGAUACGACCACUCCCGGCAUCGGGUGGUGGUGGAAACUUUUUGGGUGGGGGAUGUGCUCGCGGCCUAUCAGCUUGUUGGUGGGGUAAUGGCCUACCAAGGCUUCGACGGGUAGCCGGCCUGAGAGGGUGACCGGCCACACUGGGACUGAGACACGGCCCAGACUCCUACGGGAGGCAGCAGUGGGGAAUAUUGGACAAUGGGCGGAAGCCUGAUCCAGCAACGCCGCGUGAGGGAUGACGGCCUUCGGGUUGUAAACCUCUUUCAGCACCGACGAAGCGCAAGUGACGGUAGGUGCAGAAGAAGGACCGGCCAACUACGUGCCAGCAGCCGCGGUAAUACGUAGGGUCCGAGCGUUGUCCGGAAUUAUUGGGCGUAAAGGGCUCGUAGGCGGUUUGUCGCGUCGGGAGUGAAAACACCGGGCUUAACUCGGUGCUUGCUUCCGAUACGGGCAGACUGGAGGUAUGCAGGGGAGAACGGAAUUCCUGGUGUAGCGGUGAAAUGCGCAGAUAUCAGGAGGAACACCGGUGGCGAAGGCGGUUCUCUGGGCAUUACCUGACGCUGAGGAGCGAAAGUGUGGGGAGCGAACAGGAUUAGAUACCCUGGUAGUCCACACCGUAAACGUUGGGCGCUAGGUGUGGGAUCCAUUCCACGGGUUCCGUGCCGUAGCUAACGCA
This 766-nucleotide ribosomal RNA is filed under the name uncultured bacterium. RNAcentral describes it as "bacterial SSU rRNA". It matches the Rfam family "Bacterial small subunit ribosomal RNA", at positions 81 to 859 of the family's 1533-position model. The record is from RNAcentral.